Molecule: long non-coding RNA, 1534 nt
Filed under: Pongo abelii (Sumatran orangutan)
Lineage: Eukaryota; Metazoa; Chordata; Mammalia; Primates; Hominidae
Description: lincRNA
Source: RNAcentral
AAUCUAUCUGGUCAGAUACUUAGUACCUAGAUGUGGAGACCAUAUCUCACAGUUCUGUCAGGCAGGAGCAGUCCAAACACUUUGAUUAUCAGCUGUCUCUUGCUCAGGAAAUUACUAGGUACCAACGCUGUUAUAUAUGCAGAAGUGCCUGAAAAAUGAAUGGAGAUCAAUUUCCAGUUCCACACAGAGCACAUCUGUAAAAUAUGACCUUUGGAUAAUGGCUGGAGUGUUUACCUACAGUAUUGGUUUUUGCAUGUGGCUUUCCCUAGAUAUGUCAGGAUACAGCAGGACCAAAACCUGGCCUUUGUCCUAUGUCUGGAGACUUCUUGGAAGCUGGAGCACACAAACAGCUACAGCAAACUUGAGGAAUGGGCAUGAAUAGACUGGCUUCGGGGAACUUGCCAGCUUGGCCAUGUGGCCAAGGUAAUAGGCAAGCCAAGGCAGAGCUAGAGCUCAGAGCUGGAGGGGAAAUUAAAGCAGCAAAUGUAGAAACAUUAAGCCUGAAGAGGUGACAACGUUGAAUUCUAAAAUGCAGACCAAAGCUCAGACUGCAAGCUGUCUGGCUGCUCCGGGUGUGCCCAGAAGUCAAAGUCCAGCAGGGGCAAAGGUGGAGGUGUGGUCCUGCAUAUGGGGUGUUGGAGGGAUGUGGAAGAGGAGGUGCUUUAAGAUCCAGAGAUCCCAGCUGCCCUGGUGCACCCUUGGAAGAAUAAAAGGCUAGGAACUGGACAAGUCAGGCUCAAGUCCAAGCUGCCUAAGGAAUCAGGGAAAGAAUGGAGCUCAGAGUGGGAGGUCAGGGCAGUAUCUAAAAAUCCAUUAUAGGAGCAAAGCUGGCGGUGGCCCCUGACUCUGGUAAAGGCAGCCUGCAGCAUCAUGCCACGGGGGGGCCUGACUGAUCACGCCUUGCAUUUGCAAACAAGGAUUAGUAGGGUAUGAGUAGGAUUCUGCUGGUGCCCGAGAAGGCAAUGCCAUCUACAUCUUUACAAAGUUUUAACAAAGGCCUGGAGGACACAACCUUCCUCAAAGUCCUGAUGUCGCUGUUUGCUGGCAACAAUUAGAGCCAAAAGAAGAGAGGCACAGAAUGUGCCAGGGGUGUGCUGCGUACAGUCCCGAUGACCACAAGGCCUUCUUGGGUCAAGUUCUGCCAUCUCUGGUUAAGAUGGGCUCACCCUCUAGCACCUUGAUUGAGUCCUCGGACCACCAAGAGUGCCCCACCAAGAGCCUCCCUCUUCUGGUGACUCAUGCCUGCUUCCCGUGGAGAGCUCCAGAAGGGAGGAAACUGUGAAGAGGUGGAGAACGUGGCAGGGAUCCUAACUUUCUUACUGAAGGAAGUUCUUAACAAGUACCCAUCUGCCUUCAGGGAAGAAAACAUAACUCAUUUUGGUCUUUCAAAUUCAGUUCUCAAAACCAAAUCCUGUUGUCAGCAAUCUGUGUCCCAACGCCUUCUUCAGCAACAGCAUUUUCCCUGUGGAAUUAGUUUCCAAUGUUCUUUCUUAAAUAAACCACUGAAGAUUGAAAGGAAUCCAGAUACCCACCA